CUUNCGCAAUGGACGAAAGUCUGACGGAGCANCGCCGCGUGAGUGAUGAAGGUUUUCGGAUCGUAAAACUCUGUUGUUAGGGAAGAACAAGUACCGUUCGAAUAGGGCGGCACCUUGACGGUACCUAACCAGAAAGCCACGGCGAACUACGUGCCAGCAGCCGCGGUAAUACGUAGGUGGCAAGCGUUGUCCGGAAUUAUUGGGCGUAAAGCUCUCGCAGGCGGUUUCUUAAGUCUGAUGGUAAAGCCCCCGGCUCAACCGGGGAGGGUCAUUGGAAACUGGGGAACUUGAGUGCAGAAGAGGAGAGUGGAAUUCCACGUGUAGCGGUGAAAUGCGUAGAGAUGUGGAGGAACACCAGUGGCGAAGGCGACUCUCUGGUCUGUAACUGACGCUGAGGCGCGAAAGCGUGGGGAGCGAACAG
Molecule: ribosomal RNA, 421 nt
Filed under: uncultured bacterium
Lineage: Bacteria
Description: bacterial SSU rRNA
Rfam family: Bacterial small subunit ribosomal RNA
Source: RNAcentral